RNAcentral lists this ribosomal RNA (493 nucleotides) under uncultured bacterium. RNAcentral's name for it is "bacterial SSU rRNA". It matches the Rfam family "Bacterial small subunit ribosomal RNA", at positions 28 to 479 of the family's 1533-position model. The record is from RNAcentral.
GAUGAACGCUGGCGGCGUGCCUAACACAUGCAAGUCGAACGAGAAGCUAACCUUUGAUUCCUUCGGGAUGAUCAGGUUGGCAGAAAGUGGCGAACGGGUGAGUAACGCGUGGGUAAUCUACCCUAAAGUGGGGGAUAACCCUCCGAAAGGAGGGCUAAUACCGCAUAAUAUCUUCUCCUCCCAAGAGAAGAAGAUCAAAGAUGGCCUCUAUACUAUGCUAUCACUUCAGGAUGAGCCUGCGUCCUAUUAGUUAGUUGGUGGGGUAAUGGCCUACCAAGACCACAAUGGGUAGCCGGUCUGAGAGGAUGUACGGCCACACUGGGACUGAGAUACGGCCCAGACUCCUACGGGAGGCAGCAGUGGGGAAUAUUGCGCAAUGGGGGAAACCCUGACGCAGCGACGCCGCGUGGACGAUGAAGGCCUUCGGGUUGUAAAGUCCUGUUCUGGGGGAAGAAACCUUAAGGGUCCAAUAAACCCUUAAGCUGACGGUACC